This 286-nucleotide unclassified non-coding RNA is filed under the name Hevea brasiliensis (rubber tree). The record is from RNAcentral. Lineage: Eukaryota; Viridiplantae; Streptophyta; Magnoliopsida; Malpighiales; Euphorbiaceae.
AACAACUAAGCCUUUAUCCCAAAUAAGUUCACAAAUAGGAUGCAUAAGUUGACAUCAAAACAAUAAAUUUUAAAUUUGCAUAUAACUGUAUAUCCAAAUAUGCAGCAACAAGUCAAAGUCCACACAAUUCUAUUCUACAAUGUUUUCUCCAAACAUCAAAGUUAAAGCACUUUUUUAAUGAGAUUCAGAAAUCUAUUACUUAAAUAGUCCUUUCUUCAGUUGAAAUUUACUUAAACUACAUCACACUUAAUCAAAUCAAGCAUUAUUUCCUAAAUGAACAUUUUUG